AUUCCAGUGCCUGGGUACAGGAAAGCAGAAGAGGUUGGACUUCUUGUAAAUGCUAGGAAGCGAAAGUCAAACGUACUGAUGUUGACAAACAAAGCCAAGGGACUUUCCAGUGAAAGCAAGCCUGCUUCCUUAGUCAUAUCUCAUAGUCUGUCCUGUGUGUAUGAGGCAGUAACGGAGAGAGACAAAGAGACAAAAACAAGGACCAACACAAUGGAGGACGAGAAGACCUAUGACCCCGGUGACAGGACACUCAAGUUUGUCAACAGACAGGAUGACAUUACUCUGGAUGAUAUCCCUGAAACCUUGAGGGCAGAGAUGUCCUUUGGUUACGCGGCCAUCCCAAAGUCACUGUCCAAAUUGUUUAAAAGCCUGAAGCAGUUAAAAGGUCCGGGGCCACACUCUGACCAGAGGCUGCAACUGCUGCAGAACUGUCCAACUGUCGCCUUGCCCCAGGUACAUGGGGUCACUGCCUGCCCCUCCAUGCGUGCCUGUCCCACCUGUGGUGCACUAUUGGAGCAUGACAUGACCGCUUGUAAGAAUUUACUCUGCCCGCGUUGCGAGAAAGAGUUCUGCUUUGUGUGCCUUAAGCUCAAAUCUGAGUGCAUGAAGACCAGCUCACCAUACAAAGCCUGCUCUGCUGGUGUUGCCCCCAGGCAGACCUCCAUACCCACCUGGAGUGGGGCCCAUUGAUUGCUAUGGAAUCCCGGCAUUCUCCAUCAUGGCUCAGUAUGAGGUAAGGAUCAUUUGUAGAUUGUUCGUAAGAGUCAUUGUUACUGUAAGAUAUCUUAAUAAAGAGUUGUUUUAUUGGUGUGGCAACCAGGUAAUGAGCACUAUUUCUCUUUGAUGUAUUUUCAUCUGUGUGUGUUUGUAACUCAUGAUAAAUCAGAGAACAAAGAGGACGGAUGGAAAGCUAAAAUAGGUCAACUGAUAGGGAAGGGAGCAUACGCCAACCAGGGAAAUGCCAGCUACAGCAGCAUAUGCCAGCCUUCGCUUUGGCUCCCCCUCCUGUUCAGCUCAGGCAUUUGGAGUCGUCGGCCUACUAGCUGCCGAACCAGCUGCUGGCAAACGCCCUAAACUCAUCAACCCUGGACUUGUCUUGUCAUCAUUACACACACCUGGCUCCAAUCCCCACUCUAUCACUCUAUAUAUACUCCCUUUGUCAUUUGUCUUUGUCUGUCAUUGUUGUUUUGUUUUCCUGAAAUGAAUCGCUGCUACUAAUUCCUGAGUACCUUGUUAUUUUCUGCACUUUGGGUUUCGUCCCACUUUUUAUAGAGAUAUAUGUGUAUAUAUAUAUAUAUAUAUUAGUGCUGUAAUGAAUUCAGUAAUUCUAAACCUGGGACUACCUCCUGCUUACUCCUCUCUACACUUGUGACAUCUAUUGCCAUGGUGAUAGUCAAAGGAAUGGGAUCCCAGGUCAGUGUACCUUGGUCUCAGCACUCUGCGGUUAUAACCCUCUAGUCAGCCUGAGAGAAUAAUGAUCCUUAGUUAGUGCCAUUACCAUUAUUUCAUUAUAAAAAAACGGAUGCACACUAGUUCUGUUCAAAUCUAUAAACACAACACAAACAAAAUUCCAAGCAAUGCCAGCUUGGUGAAAUUAGAAGAGCGAUGCAUCCCAGCUGUCACGCAUCCCAGCUGUCACGCAUCCCAGCUGUCACGCAUCCCAGCUGUCACGCAUCCCAGCUGUCACGCAUCCCAGCUGUCACGCAUCCCAGCUGUCACGCAUCCCAGCUGUCACGCAUCCCAGAUUUGGCAUGGGUCCUCAGAUCCUCAAAAGGUUUUACAGCUGCACCAUUGAGAGCAUACUGACGGUUUGCAUCACCGCCUG
Oncorhynchus gorbuscha (pink salmon) is the source of this 1825-nucleotide RNA transcript. RefSeq lists it as uncharacterized. The transcript is spliced from 4 exons. NCBI's taxonomy places the organism in Eukaryota, Metazoa, Chordata, Actinopteri, Salmoniformes, Salmonidae. The record is from RefSeq and is a predicted model, not a curated record.